CCAUAGAGAUCAUUUUAAAAUAAAGGUGAAGCGAACAUGCGCAGUAACUAACCCCAACUUAAUAAAUUGCAUAAAUAUCCAAAAAUCUUUUUAAAACGCAAAAUUAAAGGGUACAUGCAUAUAAUCUACAUGUAAAAUAUUUAAAAUGUAUUCCUUUUUUUAAGGACUCUGUGAAGUUGAUGCCUUAAAAAAAGAGCCUGCAAUGUAAAUAUUAAGGCUAUUUAACGGGUUCGACCUUAAGCAUAGCUAUAUUUAUUUGAUAAUUUAUUAUUCACACAUUAUUCGCCUUGUUCGCACCCCAAAGGUUUGCGAACGAUCGGUGGCCACCAUAUGUUUUAUCGACUUUUGCUCCACCGCUCCCAAAGCUUGUUAGUAAUAAAAUAGUCAUUUACUUUGUUGAAAUCGCUUGUAGUUCCGCCUUUUGGUUUAGAUUUGAGACUAAUUAAAAAUGGCUGAAAUAAGCGCUUCAUAUGCCGCCGUCACGACUAUUAGUUACCACCAUUUUUAAAACAAAAUAUGUUUUGCCGUGAACAAGCUAUUGACGUGUUCCUUCCCAUUGUGAAUAAAAUGGAAAAAUAACGCGAGAGAGAGAAGGAGAGAGUCGCCGCUACCGCAGGAGGAGGUUCUCUGCGUAGCAGCAGCCUGGAGUGUUCAACACAGAAACGACUGAUUUUUAUAAUUCAGCUCGAUUAUUGCUGUGAACGCUGCUUUCACUCGGUAUAGCUUUAGGUUGGAGAUAUUCUAUUUGUAGAAAUAUAACAUUCGGGAUGGUUGGCGUUGUCUGCGGCAGCUGCCUCGACGGCAGAUUUCCGCCGCAGCGCAGCGCAGUGCGGGGCAGUCCAGUGCUGUGGGUGGUUGUGGAAAACUGAGUACAAUGUGGAGAACACGCAGACACCCCUGCAGACAAUAAACAAAGAGCCGCUCGCCAUGUGCGCCGCAGCUGCUGCACGAGCACGCUCACAGCCCAACCGAGCUGCAGUGAGCAGUCAGGGCCGCCAGGGGGCAGAGCGACCACUGAGGAUGCCUUCUUUCAGUCAGGUGGAGGAGUGUGAAGUGAAUCUUCCGGCUGGUAGCCCUCUAACCGCUGCAACAGGAUCUCAGAGUAGCCUGAAGAUGAUCCCACCUUACAGAGAAUGACGGCCAUGGCGAGGCUUUCAUUGUGAGCAGCCACGUAUCCCAGCAUCAUGAUCCCCGGGAGCCGCAGCUGUCCAUGGCUCUCUCCCAGGGUCGCAACGUUCUUCCUGACGUAAUCAUCCGGAUCUUUGAGGGAGACGAAGGCGGCGGGGAAGACCUCGGCCUCGAUCACCAUCUCGGCC
Molecule: long non-coding RNA, 1316 nt
Organism: Poecilia latipinna (sailfin molly)
Lineage: Eukaryota; Metazoa; Chordata; Actinopteri; Cyprinodontiformes; Poeciliidae
Exons: 4
Source: RefSeq, a predicted model, not a curated record